This 279-nucleotide unclassified non-coding RNA is filed under the name plant metagenome. RNAcentral describes it as "partial contains small subunit ribosomal RNA, internal transcribed spacer 1, and 5.8S ribosomal RNA". The record is from RNAcentral.
UCUCCGUUGGUGAACCUGCGGAAGGAUCAUUACAGUAUUACAGAACUCCGAGGGCUAUCGCUGACCCGACACGUCGCGCACGCCCGAGUGCCCUCACACACAUCCAUCCCACCCCUACGUGCACCACCGCGUGGGCCCACCUUUGUCUUGUUCGGAGGGGGGCUUAUGUUUUCACACCACCUUUUAAUUCAGUCUUGCAUGAAUUUAUUGUUUUUUCGAUCACGCCAUCAAUACAACUUUCAACAACGGCUCUCUUGGCUCUAGCACCGAUCAACAACC